UCGCUUCCUUUUUCGCCAUAGGAGCAUCUAUAAUUGCCGAUCUAGCUCGAAUUGCGUUCGAUGGAGAAUUGGAUGAAUAUAGAGGUAUGAAGCGCUUGGAAGUCUAAAUGAGAAGGUGACAUCGAAUUGAGGAGUUGGUCUUUUUACACAGAAACGAAGAGUGAAUGAUGGUGAUGCGAAUGGAGAUCUAGAGAACUAAGGAGUUGUUACCCUUUUCGGUACACCAGUCAAAGCGUCCAUGAAAUUAAAGAACAUGAAUUGGAGGGGACGUCCUCUAUGCUUGAUAGGUUUGAUAUGUCAGAUGCAGAAAUGCUUGAUGCACACUUGGAGUUUGCAGGUUUAGCCCCUGCAGAAUACCAUCUAAAUGUUCAUCAGGCAUCUAAAAGGAUCUUCUUAGAUUUCUGAUGGUGACUCUCACAAUGUAAUUUUACUGCUGGCUCCUCUUCUUUUACUGAUUGAGCAUUCUUUUACUGACUGAGUGUGCCCUACAAGGAGAGAUUUAGUGGAUACUGAAAUAUAGACUAUAGGCGGAAAGUUUCUCACAUUUUGUAUUGCUUGAAGUUUAAUUAAUCUUCUUCUCAUUACAGAAGGGCAUUUCGUCACAUCAUUCUGAUUAAUCAAGUUCGCUGGUGGGAGUUGAACUUUUGAAUAGGAUAUAUCUUGAGCUAUGCUGUGUACUUGUACGACAAUCUGGUCGAGAGGGACGGAGGGAGCAAUUGUAGAAAGCAAAGAGACUAGGAGGGUAAAUGUAUAACAUCAUUAUGUUGGCGUCCUGAUGACAAGGUUGUUGUCUUGGGACUUGAAGACUAAACGAUUUUACUGCAUGAUGUCGAAAAUGGAAAACUGUUAAGAAGCUUGAAGUCCCAUAUGGCAGCUGUGGUGUCUCAACUGGGAGGAGGAUACCUAACUGAAUAGAAACACUUCUGGUAACUUUUUGGCUUUUGAAGAUCGCACUACUCGAUUCUUCCCUCCAGCUCCAAAAGUUCCUCACAUGCCUGGACUAGUACCCGGAGAUGCUGGUUUAACAGACGAUGGUCAAGAUUCAUUUGUAGAGCUCUCAAAUUCUUCAGAGCAAUGUUUCAAUAUCCUUUGCAGUGGAGAUAAAGAUGGGGUUUUGUGCUUCAGUAUAUUUGGUGUCUUUCUAAUCAGAAAUAUUGUAAGCGUCCUGUCUGUUCAAAUCAAAUAGUUGGCAGUAUGAUCUAUUAGAUUGAGUCGAUGAGUCAUUUCCCUGUUCUUGCUUCUCAUUCAGCAGUUUUUCUUAAUAAAUGGAUUUGAUGGCAGACUGGCAGUAAAUCAGUAUUGCCCAGGAAGUAAUGGGCUGGUUAAGUAAACAAUUAUACUAGGUGAUGUUAUGCUUGUAAAAGUUCUAGACGUUUAUGCCAAUUCCCAGGCCAGAUUUCACUUCUGUUGGUCACUUCCGAGAUGACACCCUUCCAAUUUCGAUAUAGAACAAUUAUCUGAA
Long non-coding RNA from Syzygium oleosum, 1462 nucleotides. RefSeq lists it as uncharacterized. The record is from RefSeq and is a predicted model, not a curated record. Lineage: Eukaryota; Viridiplantae; Streptophyta; Magnoliopsida; Myrtales; Myrtaceae. The transcript has 4 exons.